AUGGCCUUCUGUCUGUGCACGUCUGUGUGCAUCCAAUCGUGCAUCAGCUUCCGUCCAUCCCUGCACUUUUCCUAUCCCCUGUCAUCCACCAUCCACUCAUGUACCUACCCACCCGCCCGCCACUCACCCCUCCACUCACCCCUCCACCCACCCAUCCAUCCACCCAUCCACCCAUCCAUCCAUCCAUCCGUCCAUCCAUCCAUCCAUCCAUCCAUGGACCCAAACCCUCAUCUUUAUACUUUUCUUGAAGGACUGAAAUGUGCCCAUCUCGGGCCGAGGGUGGCAGGAAGUGAUCCAAAGGAGAAAGGCCAGAUAUACUGUCAGUCCUUGCAAAGCCAUCAUCUGCAGGGUGACAGACAGGUAGAAUGGCCUUGUCCAUCAGUGUGGGGAAGGGUGGGGUGUGGGCGGCGUGGGGUUGGCCUGGUGGAGGAGGUGGCCCUUCCUGUAGGACCCAGCACAGCUGAUUCUGGAGGCCUGGUCUCCCGGGCCAGCCCAGUUCUCUCCCUGGUGUCUCCUGAUGUGGUGUGGAGACGGCACCAAGAGAAGUCUGCGGCAACCACCCACACGGGGGUGCUGCCACCAGCCUGCCCACCCGCCAUCUGCCUCGUUCCUUCUCUUCCCCAGCACACCGGAGCCCGUGGGCUGCCUGGCUUCAGCACAGUCGCCAGCUGCACACGUGGGCCCUGGACACCUGCCCUGUGAAGGCCGGCACGCUCCUGUCCUGGGAGAGAAGGGGCUGACCGGGAGCUAGGGAACACGACCUCCCCGGCACUUCUGUGUACAAGUGCAUCCCGACUGGUGCCCUGUUCAGUUCCUGAAACGUCCUGGCGGGUGGCACCGAGCUCAGUGAAGAGGGGGCAGGCAGGCCGUGACGGGCCUGGAGUACCACUCUUGGGCCACUCACGGACAGGCCCUGGCCAAGUGCUGGCUGCUGGGCAAAGAGCAAUGGUGGGGUGCAGUGACCCCUGGCCUCUUGAAGAAGCUUCCUGUGAGGGCCUGUUCUUAACAUCCGUGUCACGUGAGGCUCUCCCUGCCCUCCUUCGUCCCACUCCGGAUCCCAUCCACCCUGCUCCCUGCCUGCCCUGGGGCUAGCGGGGCAACUUCCCUUCUGCAGCCGGGUGUCCUUUGUCGUGGGUGGCCGUGCUGGGCACUGUGCAAGCUCGGUCGCCUCCCGGGCCUCCACCUGCUCGGUCGUGAUGACCCAAGUGUCCCUGGACAUUGCCAAGUGUCCCGGGGGUGCAGAGGCCCCCUGAGAACCUUUCCACCUUCCUGGGGCUCACAGGGAAGAAGCCUGGGGCUAGGGCAGCCCUGUGGGCUGGUGAGCAAGGAGAAGAGGCGGUGGCUUCUCAGCUGGACCCAGCGUGAGUCGAAGAGACAGGAGGAUGGGUGUCUCCAGCCAAGGGCACCGCAUGCCCCAGGCCUGGAUGUGUAAGCGAUGGACCAGGCAGCGGCGCUGGGUGGAGGAGGAUGGCUAGGCCCAGCCAGGCAGAGGGUGGGCAGGAGGCUGCCCUGUGCAGCCUGGGCUGUGCCAGGAGGGUGUAGGAGAUGCAGGUUGGGCGUCGGGGAGAAGAGGG
Molecule: long non-coding RNA, 1574 nt
Organism: Fukomys damarensis (Damara mole-rat)
Lineage: Eukaryota; Metazoa; Chordata; Mammalia; Rodentia; Bathyergidae
Source: Ensembl